Molecule: ribosomal RNA, 323 nt
Filed under: Triticum aestivum (bread wheat)
Lineage: Eukaryota; Viridiplantae; Streptophyta; Magnoliopsida; Poales; Poaceae
Description: partial small subunit ribosomal RNA
Source: RNAcentral
AUUUUAGCAUGGCAUAGGAGCAAAUUAAUGCAAACAGCAUUUUUAUCAUCUCAAACAUAGAUGAAAGUUGGAUAUUAUUAAUCUACACAAAAUUCUGAGCAAGUUUCAUAUAUAAAACAUUUUAAUCCGAUGCAGGGUUCGUGAGUUAUUAAAUGCAUGAACAUGAGGGUCUAAUCUGCAAAACUGGCAAUCUCUGGAUAAAUAGCUAAAUUCGUAGAACUGGGAAAAACAUGGCACGGGCCGCAUCUGAACAGUGCACUGGGCAAGCCCAACGGCAGGGAAAAAAAAUAACAAGAGGAGGGGGCGUUGGGCGCGGCUCACCC